ACUCCGCCUGGGGAGUACGGCCGCAAGGCUGAAACUCAAAGGAAUUGACGGGGGCCCGCACAAGCGGUGGAGCAUGUGGUUUAAUUCGAAGCAACGCGAAGAACCUUACCAGGUCUUGACAUCCUCUAAAAACCCUAGAGAUAGGGCUUCUCCUUCGGGAGCAGAGUGACAGGUGGUGCAUGGUUGUCGUCAGCUCGUGUCGUGAGAUGUUGGGUUAAGUCCCGCAACGAGCGCAACCCUUGAUCUUAGUUGCCA
This 255-nucleotide ribosomal RNA is filed under the name Bacillus cereus. RNAcentral describes it as "partial 16S ribosomal RNA". It matches the Rfam family "Bacterial small subunit ribosomal RNA", at positions 866 to 1120 of the family's 1533-position model. The record is from RNAcentral. Lineage: Bacteria; Bacillati; Bacillota; Bacilli; Caryophanales; Bacillaceae.